This 493-nucleotide ribosomal RNA is filed under the name uncultured bacterium. Its description in RNAcentral is "partial 16S ribosomal RNA". It matches the Rfam family "Bacterial small subunit ribosomal RNA", at positions 28 to 506 of the family's 1533-position model. The record is from RNAcentral.
GACGAACGCUGGCGGCGCGCUUAACACAUGCAAGUCGAACGGAAAGGCCUGCUUUCCCUUGUGGAUUGCGGGUACUCGAGUGGCGAACGGGUGAGUAACACGUGAGUGAUCUGCCCCCAACUUGGGUAUAAGCCUGGGAAACUGGGUCUAAUUCCCGAUAGGACUGCAGGGUGGUGCCUGUGGUGGAAAACGAUUUUCUAGUGGUUGGGGAUGAGCUCGCGGCCUAUCAGCUUGUUGGUGGGGUAAUGGCCUACCAAGGCGGCGACGGGUAGCCGGCCUGAGAGGGUGGACGGCCACAUUGGGACUGGGAUACGGCCCAGACUCCUACGGGAGGCAGCAGUGGGGAAUAUAGCACAAUGGGCGGAAGCCUGAUGCAGCGACGCCGCGUGGGGGAUGACGGCCUUCGGGUUGUAAACUCCUUGCGACCGCGAGGAAGCCACCUGGUUGGAAGGGUGGUGACGGUAGUGGUAGAAGAAGCACCGGCUAACUACGU